UACAAAUCGUGUAUAGGUCCCAAUAAUGC
This 29-nucleotide small RNA is filed under the name Bombyx mori (domestic silkworm). RNAcentral describes it as "piRNA piR-bmo-1605315". The record is from RNAcentral. Lineage: Eukaryota; Metazoa; Arthropoda; Insecta; Lepidoptera; Bombycidae.